This 203-nucleotide long non-coding RNA is filed under the name Gossypium barbadense (sea-island cotton). Its description in RNAcentral is "long non-coding RNA (GBAR_LNC023083)". Lineage: Eukaryota; Viridiplantae; Streptophyta; Magnoliopsida; Malvales; Malvaceae. The record is from RNAcentral.
CUAGGCCAAAUUCUGGGGGGCUUUGAGAGAGUGUGAGAAAAUUUAGAAAGGGUUUUGAAUUUUUUUUAAGAGGGGUAUAAAUGAUUUUUUUGGCAAGAAUCUGACUUUUAUAGUUGGUCCAAACGGCGCCAUUUUGAAGGUUGUCCUUAGAGGCCAAAACGACGUCGUUUUGGCCUCUGACCCAUGAUCCGACCCGUCUGCCC